This 421-nucleotide long non-coding RNA is filed under the name Struthio camelus australis. RNAcentral's name for it is "lncRNA (ENSSCUG00000015603.1)". Lineage: Eukaryota; Metazoa; Chordata; Aves; Struthioniformes; Struthionidae. The record is from RNAcentral.
CUUUGCUACAGCAUUUAUUACAGCUGCCCAAUGGGUGGGAUGAUCUUGUUCCCACUGAAACAAAGUUCAAUUUGAGCUAAGAAUCUGCUCUCAUUUUUGUAGCAAUCCUUACAAGGUAUCUUUCAAGGAUCCUCAGCCAGAGUGAACAUGAAGAGAGGUUUGAGUUAGACGCAUUUACUGCUCUGUGUGCCAUGGUAGUCUAAAACAUUGAAAUAUGGAUAUCCUUCACCUCUCUCUGAUGCAGUGAAGCCUGAGCCGCUCAAGCCACGAACAAAUUCCUUUCUGAAAUGGAGUCUGAGGAAUCUUCCAUGUGCAGGAACAGGAGGAAGUCUGGGUGCUUUCUAUGGUCUGAUUCCUCUGCAGCAGUGUUCUAGGCCUAGCCCCAUGUUUCUGAGGCUUAAACAUGGAAAAUAGCGCACUU